Molecule: long non-coding RNA, 154 nt
Organism: Maniola jurtina (meadow brown)
Lineage: Eukaryota; Metazoa; Arthropoda; Insecta; Lepidoptera; Nymphalidae
Exons: 3
Source: RefSeq, a predicted model, not a curated record
GUAGCAAUUCUGCCCCGUGAUUGGCUGUGAAAAAAUGUAAACAGCGAAUCAACCAAUCAAAGGGCAGAAUUUGCUAUCGAUUACGAUAACGAUGAAUACUUAUUCUUAAAGAAUCGGGGGGCUGCUCCGCUUCAAUAAUUUUUUUGCAGUGUGA